This 497-nucleotide ribosomal RNA is filed under the name uncultured bacterium. Its description in RNAcentral is "partial 16S ribosomal RNA". It matches the Rfam family "Bacterial small subunit ribosomal RNA", at positions 28 to 507 of the family's 1533-position model. The record is from RNAcentral.
GAUGAACGCUGGCGGCGUGCCUAAUACAUGCAAGUCGAGCGAACAGACGAGGAGCUUGCUCCUCUGACGUUAGCGGCGGACGGGUGAGUAACACGUGGAUAACCUACCUAUAAGACUGGGAUAACUUCGGGAAACCGGAGCUAAUACCGGAUAAUAUAUUGAACCGCAUGGUUCAAUAGUGAAAGACGGUUUUGCUGUCACUUAUAGAUGGAUCCGCGCCGCAUUAGCUAGUUGGUAAGGUAACGGCUUACCAAGGCGACGAUGCGUAGCCGACCUGAGAGGGUGAUCGGCCACACUGGAACUGAGACACGGACCAGACUCCUACGGGAGGCAGCAGUAGGGAAUCUUCCGCAAUGGGCGAAAGCCUGACGGAGCAACGCCGCGUGAGUGAUGAAGGUCUUCGGAUCGUAAAGCUCUGUUAUUGGGGAAGAACAGAUGUGUAAGUAACUAUGCACGUCUUGACGGUACCUGAUCAGAAAGCCACGGCUAACUACGUG